This 152-nucleotide ribosomal RNA is filed under the name Sphenodon punctatus (tuatara). RNAcentral's name for it is "5.8S ribosomal RNA (ENSSPUG00000001792.1)". It matches the Rfam family "5.8S ribosomal RNA". Rfam says of the family: 5.8S ribosomal RNA (5.8S rRNA) is a component of the large subunit of the eukaryotic ribosome. It is transcribed by RNA polymerase I as part of the 45S precursor that also contains 18S and 28S rRNA. Lineage: Eukaryota; Metazoa; Chordata; Lepidosauria; Sphenodontia; Sphenodontidae. The record is from Rfam by way of RNAcentral.
GUGACUGGGCAGUGGAUAACUCGGCUCAUGUGUCUACAAAGAACGCAGCUAGCUAUAAGAGUUAUUGCGAAUGGCGGGACACAUUGAUCACUGACAGUUUGAACGUACUUGUGGCUCAGAUUCAUCUCGGGGUUAUGCCUGUAGGAGCACUG